GAUGAACGCUGGCGGCGUGCCUAAUACAUGCAAGUCGAGCGAACGGACGAGAAGCUUGCUUCUCUGAUGUUAGCGGCGGACGGGUGAGUAACACGUGGAUAACCUACCUAUAAGACUGGGAUAACUUCGGGAAACCGGGGCUAAUACCGGAUAAUAUUUUGAACCGCAUGGUUCAAAAGUGAAAGACGGUCUUGCUGUCACUUAUAGAUGGAUCCGCGCUGCAUUAGCUAGUUGGUAGGGUAACGGCUUACCAAGGCAACGAUGCAUAGCCGACCUGAGAGGGUGAUCGGCCACACUGGAACUGAGACACGGUCCAGACUCCUACGGGAGGCAGCAGUAGGGAAUCUUCCGCAAUGGGCGAAAGCCUGACGGAGCAACGCCGCGUGAGUGAUGAAGGUCUUCGGAUCGUAAAACUCUGUUAUUAGGGAAGAACAUAUGUGUAAGUAACUGUGCACAUCUUGACGGUACCUAAUCAGAAAGCCAUGGCUAACUACGUG
This 497-nucleotide ribosomal RNA is filed under the name uncultured bacterium. RNAcentral describes it as "partial 16S ribosomal RNA". It matches the Rfam family "Bacterial small subunit ribosomal RNA", at positions 28 to 507 of the family's 1533-position model. The record is from RNAcentral.